This 66-nucleotide small nucleolar RNA is filed under the name Vicugna pacos (alpaca). The record is from RNAcentral. Lineage: Eukaryota; Metazoa; Chordata; Mammalia; Artiodactyla; Camelidae.
UUUCUAUGAUGAAUCAAACUACCUCACUAGAUUUUAACAAUGAAAAGAUAUGAACACCUGAGAAAC